GGGAGGUCGCGGCGGUGCGCCGGGUCGCCACGGCGGCCACGGCGGGGGUGGGUUGGCGGGCCGCGGCGGGGGUGAGGGCAUGUCCGGCCACGCGGGGUAGUGGGGAUAGUGGGGCGCGGGGGGUGCGGCGGGAGCGAUGGGGGGAUACGCCGGAUACGCCGGGUACUCCGGCGCCCCCACCGACGACGCGCCUUCGGUGCCCAUUUUCCAAUUUUCGGAUCCGGCCCCGACUCCCGACCCGACCGUCGCGACCACCGACGCCGCGACGUCGCCUUCGUCGUCGCCCGCGGCGACGACGGCCAUGAGGCACAGCGCGAGCGCCGCCGCGCCGCUCCUCAUGCCGUGUGCAACCUACUCUGGCGACCCGCCAAUUCAAUUUCCGAAGGGACCAACAGCUGGGACCAACACC
RNAcentral lists this long non-coding RNA (409 nucleotides) under Micromonas commoda. RNAcentral describes it as "long non-coding RNA (MCOM_LNC000256)". The record is from RNAcentral. Lineage: Eukaryota; Viridiplantae; Chlorophyta; Mamiellophyceae; Mamiellales; Mamiellaceae.